GUGAGGAAUAUUGCGCAAUGGAGGCAACUCUGACGCAGCCAUGCCGCGUGCAGGAAGAAGGCGCUACGCGUUGUAAACUGCUUUUAACCGGGAAGAAACCCCAGGACGUGUCCUGGGUUGACGGUACCGGAGGAAUAAGCACCGGCUAACUUCGUGCCAGCAGCCGCGGUAAUACGAAGGGUGCAAGCGUUAUCCGGAUUCAUUGGGUUUAAAGGGUGCGUAGGCGGAGCGUUAAGUCAGUGGUGAAAUCCUGCAGCUUAACUGUAGACUUGCCAUUGAUACUGGCGCUCUUGAGUGCGCUUGAAGUGGGCGGAAUGUGCCGUGUAGCGGUGAAAUACUUAGAUAUGGCACAGAACACCAAUUGCGAAGGCAGCUCACUAAGGCGAUACUGACGCUGAGGCACGAAAGCGUGGGGAUCGAACAGGAUUAGAAACCCUAGUAGUCC
RNAcentral lists this ribosomal RNA (445 nucleotides) under uncultured bacterium. RNAcentral describes it as "partial 16S ribosomal RNA". It matches the Rfam family "Bacterial small subunit ribosomal RNA", at positions 354 to 796 of the family's 1533-position model. The record is from RNAcentral.